AUGAGGAGGCAGCUGCAGAUAAGAAGUGGAUCCAAGCAAUGGAUGAAGAAAUCCACUCUAUUGAAAAGAAUGACACUUGGGUGCUAACUUCUUUACCACCUGGUAAGAAACUCAUUGGUGUCAAGUAGGUGUACAAGACAAAGUGCAAACCCGAUAAUCAGGUGGACCGUUAUAAAGCCAGACCGGUCAUAAAAGGCUAUAAGCAAAAGUCAUGUAUCGAUUAUUUUGAAGUUUUGCACCAGUGGCACGAA
Rhodamnia argentea is the source of this 251-nucleotide long non-coding RNA. RefSeq lists it as uncharacterized. The record is from RefSeq and is a predicted model, not a curated record. The transcript is spliced from 3 exons. NCBI's taxonomy places the organism in Eukaryota, Viridiplantae, Streptophyta, Magnoliopsida, Myrtales, Myrtaceae.